UACAGAGGGUGCGAACGUUGUUCGGAAUUACUGGGCGUAAAGCGCGUGUAGGCGGUCGUGCAAGUCGGGUGUGAAAGCCCUGGGCUCAACCCAGGAAGUGCAUUCGAUACUGCGCGACUGGAGUCCCGGAGAGGAUGGUGGAACUCUCGGUGUAGAGGUGAAAUUCGUAGAUAUCGAGAAGAACACCGGUGGCGAAGGCGGCCAUCUGGACGGUGACUGACGCUGAGACGCGAAAGCGUGGGGAGCAAACAGG
This 253-nucleotide ribosomal RNA is filed under the name uncultured bacterium. Its description in RNAcentral is "partial 16S ribosomal RNA". It matches the Rfam family "Bacterial small subunit ribosomal RNA", at positions 524 to 776 of the family's 1533-position model. The record is from RNAcentral.